GACGAACGCUGGCGGCGUGCUUAACACAUGCAAGUCGAACGGAAAGGCCCUGCUUUUGUGGGGUGCUCGAGUGGCGAACGGGUGAGUAACACGUGAGUAACCUGCCCUUGACUUUGGGAUAACUUCAGGAAACUGGGGCUAAUACCGGAUAGGAGCUCCUGCUGCAUGGUGGGGGUUGGAAAGUUUCGGCGGUUGGGGAUGGACUCGCGGCUUAUCAGCUUGUUGGUGGGGUAGUGGCUUACCAAGGCUUUGACGGGUAGCCGGCCUGAGAGGGUGACCGGCCACAUUGGGACUGAGAUACGGCCCAGACUCCUACGGGAGGCAGCAGUGGGGAAUAUUGCACAAUGGGCGGAAGCCUGAUGCAGCAACGCCGCGUGCGGGAUGACGGCCUUCGGGUUGUAAACCGCUUUCGCCUGUGACGAAGCGUGAGUGACGGUAAUGGGUAAAGAAGCACCGGCUAACUACGUGCCAGCAGCCGCGGUGAUACGUAGGGUGCGAGCGUUGUCCGGAUUUAUUGGGCGUAAAGGGCUCGUAGGUGGUUGAUCGCGUCGGAAGUGUAAUCUUGGGGCUUAACCCUGAGCGUGCUUUCGAUACGGGUUGACUUGAGGAAGGUAGGGGAAAAUGGAAUUCCUGGUGGAGCGGUGGAAUGCGCAGAUAUCAGGAGGAACACCAGUGGCGAAGGCGGUCCUCUGGGCCUUUCCUGACGCUGAGGAGCGAAAGCGUGGGGAGCGAACAGGCCUAGAUACCCUGGUAGUCCACGCUGUAAACGGUGGGUACUAGGUGUGGGGUCCAUUCCACGGGUUCCGUGCCGUAGCUAACGCUUUAAGUACCCCGCCUGGGGAGUACGGCCGCAAGGCUAAAACUCAAAGGAAUUGACGGGGCCCCGCACAAGCGGCGGAGCAUGCGGAUUAAUUCGAUGCAACGCGUAGAACCUUACCUGGGUUUGACAUGGAUCGGGAGUGCUCAGAGAUGGGUGUGCCUCUUUUGGGGUCGGUUCACAGGUGGUGCAUGGCUGUCGUCAGCUCGUGUCGUGAGAUGUUGGGUUAAGUCCCGCAACGAGCGCAACCCUUGUUCACUGUUGCCAGCACGUUAUGGUGGGGACUCAGUGGAGACCGCCGGGGUCAACUCGGAGGAAGGUGGGGAUGACGUCAAGUCAUCAUGCCCCUUAUGUCCAGGGCUUCACGCAUGCUACAAUGGCUGGUACAGAGAGUGGCGAGCCUGUGAGGGUGAGCGAAUCUCGGAAAGCCGGUCUCAGUUCGGAUUGGGGUCUGCAACUCGACCUCAUGAAGUCGGAGUCGCUAGUAAUCGCAGAUCAGCAACGCUGCGGUGAAUGCGUUCCCGGG
RNAcentral lists this ribosomal RNA (1343 nucleotides) under uncultured bacterium. RNAcentral describes it as "16S ribosomal RNA". It matches the Rfam family "Bacterial small subunit ribosomal RNA", at positions 28 to 1378 of the family's 1533-position model. The record is from RNAcentral.